RNAcentral lists this ribosomal RNA (217 nucleotides) under uncultured bacterium. Its description in RNAcentral is "partial 16S ribosomal RNA". It matches the Rfam family "Bacterial small subunit ribosomal RNA", at positions 1283 to 1500 of the family's 1533-position model. The record is from RNAcentral.
ACGUCUCAGUUCGGAUGCAGGCUGCAACUCGCCUGCAUGAAGCUGGAAUUGCUAGUAAUCGUGGAUCAGCAUGCCACGGUGAAUACGUUCCCGGGCCUUGUACACACCGCCCGUCACACCAUGAGAGUCGGGAACACCCGAAGUCCGUAGUCUAACCGCAAGGAGGGCGCGGCCGAAGGUGGGUCUGGUAAUUGGGGUGAAGUCGUAACAAGGUACC